GUCUCCGGCCACACCACCCUGAACACGCCCGAUGUCUGAUCUCGGAAGCUAAGCAGGGUCGGGACUGGUUAAUACUGGGAUGGGAGACCACCUAGGAAGACCAGGUGCUGUAAGUA
Molecule: ribosomal RNA, 116 nt
Filed under: Pteropus alecto (black flying fox)
Lineage: Eukaryota; Metazoa; Chordata; Mammalia; Chiroptera; Pteropodidae
Source: RNAcentral